UAUCCCCAGAACUGUUGGACCAAAUGCAGCUGUGCAAACUUUUGAACACUGCAUUGUCAAUGUGCCUCAAUCCUUCACAGAGGUGACCAGCUAUAGGGAUG
RNAcentral lists this small RNA (101 nucleotides) under Chelonoidis abingdonii (Abingdon island giant tortoise). RNAcentral's name for it is "TUC338 (ENSCABG00000018063.1)". The record is from RNAcentral. Lineage: Eukaryota; Metazoa; Chordata; Testudines; Testudinidae.